UACGAAGGGGGCUAGCGUUGCUCGGAAUCACUGGGCGUAAAGCGCACGUAGGCGGCUUUCUAAGUCAGGGGUGAAAUCCUGGAGCUCAACUCCAGAACUGCCUUUGAUACUGGAGAGCUCGAGUCCGGAAGAGGUGAGUGGAACUCCGAGUGUAGAGGUGAAGUUCGUAGAUAUUCGGAAGAACACCAGUGGCGAAGGCGGCUCACUGGUCCGGUACUGACGCUGAUGUGCGAAAGCGUGGGGAGCAAACAGG
RNAcentral lists this ribosomal RNA (253 nucleotides) under uncultured bacterium. RNAcentral's name for it is "partial 16S ribosomal RNA". It matches the Rfam family "Bacterial small subunit ribosomal RNA", at positions 524 to 776 of the family's 1533-position model. The record is from RNAcentral.